CGAAUUUGCUAACAAGGUUGGUCGAUUUUUUCAAGCCGUCGCGCAGUGUACCUAGAAGUACACGAGCAACGGAAGUUAAAAAAUCGGGCAAGAUUGAACGCAAAGGCAAGCGGGACAUUUGAGGAUGGGGUGACUGCGUACCUUUUGUAUAAUGGGUCAGCGACUUAUAUUCUGUAGCAAGGUUAACCGUAUAGGGGAGCCGUAGGGAAACCGAGUCUUAACUGGGCGAAUGAGUUGCAGGGUAUAGACCCGAAACCCGGUGAUCUAUCCAUGGGCAGGUUGAAGGUUGGGUAAAACUAACUGGAGGACCGAA
RNAcentral lists this ribosomal RNA (313 nucleotides) under Proteus mirabilis. RNAcentral's name for it is "bacterial LSU rRNA". The stretch from base 109 to 313 matches the Rfam family "Bacterial large subunit ribosomal RNA", at positions 572 to 778 of the family's 2925-position model. Lineage: Bacteria; Pseudomonadati; Pseudomonadota; Gammaproteobacteria; Enterobacterales; Morganellaceae. The record is from RNAcentral.